Molecule: long non-coding RNA, 657 nt
Organism: Lactuca sativa (garden lettuce)
Lineage: Eukaryota; Viridiplantae; Streptophyta; Magnoliopsida; Asterales; Asteraceae
Source: RefSeq, a predicted model, not a curated record
AAAAGGAGCAUCCACAAAUGAAACAAAGACAAACAUAUCCAUCCAUGUCUCGAAAAUUUGAGAAAAAACAUAGCAACAAGAACAAAAAUAUUUUCAAGACUCUUGCUCGAAAAUAUCAAUUUCAGAUGAAGUUGUUUUGAAGUAUUAUGCUAAGUGUUCAUAACAUUUCAAUUGUUCAAUGAUGCCUGCAAAAAAAAAAAAAAAAAAAAAAAAAAAAAGGAACCUUCAACUGCAGCUAAAAUCUCCACCGUUUUGGUUCUUGCCGAAAAGAAAAAAGUCAAACAACUAAACAUUGGAAUUAGUAAUGCUGGGGAAUUUAGAGGCAAAGGAAGAAACUCCUAAAGAGUCAAAGUUUCAAUGCAACCAGAGGUCAAGCAGCUCAACAAUGGUGACAAUAUUAGAUGAUUCAGAACCCAUCAAAAAUUUUAUACCCAAAAGUAUGCAAGGAAGGAACUUGAUGUAUUUAACUUUAGUGAUUUUGAAGUUGUUGAAAAAAAUUUAUAGUUUUAUUUAGUGGUACAUUUCUCAAUCCCGUGUUCUAGAUACAACCUAGAAGCACAUACGAUUCUUGAUUGUGUGUUAUUCUAAUUUUGUAUUUAUCCGAGGGUGUUAUGAAGAGGUUAAUUAGAGAAACCAAAAAAGGUUUCAACUUUCAAA